GGAGCUCUUUAAAAGCCUAGAAAAACUUCAGCCAACCGAACGAAAGUACUACUAUGCAGUUGGUGUACUGAAGUGCUUGCCUGGACUACUGAGAGAAAAUUGGCAAAAUCUUCUUGUAAAGCUGGAUCCCAAUGAGGCGCACGCCUACCCAACAAUCACUUAUACAGGCGACCAUACACUUACAACACGCAGCGUUAGUGUCACCGCG
Molecule: long non-coding RNA, 208 nt
Organism: Ornithodoros turicata
Lineage: Eukaryota; Metazoa; Arthropoda; Arachnida; Ixodida; Argasidae
Exons: 3
Source: RefSeq, a predicted model, not a curated record